Molecule: unclassified non-coding RNA, 3719 nt
Filed under: Megachile rotundata (alfalfa leafcutting bee)
Lineage: Eukaryota; Metazoa; Arthropoda; Insecta; Hymenoptera; Megachilidae
Description: uncharacterized LOC105661874, transcript variant X5
Source: RNAcentral
UCCAAUAUUCCGUAAUCCGUUUAGUCCGCAUCGUUCAUCACGAUGCGCCUGUAGCCGAUUACGUGCUGAUUUGUUUGUCGGGCUUCCUUCCUAUAAAUACAAAACAUUACUUUUUUCGCCAUUCUAAUGUUAAUAGAAUUUUUUAGAGUAACUAAAUCUCUACAGGGAGCAAAAACUGUCAAAUACUGUCGCGUUCUCUGUUCUAAAGCACGACAAGUUAUUUCUUCGAUGGUGGCGGUCUUGUAGCUUGCGGUACGAACAGCAUCACACACCACGAAUACGUACACACACGCACACACCACGAAGUCGAUAUCACAGGGAAUACAUCGUACUACAUGAACGAGUCGUUAGUUAUAAGAUUACACGACACUGAUAUUAGUGGACGGCGAUAUUAAAAAAAAGAAAUUCCACACAGUACGUACACUUCUCGUUGCGUUCGACCUCAGCGUAUGGAUCGUUCCAAACAGAAAGUAUGCCCAACACAAUAUAUUGAGAAAAGGGAAGACAGUGUAAAUAUCUAAGGCAUCGAACAGUCGAGAAAGGGAAGCCGUGUAUAACGUCAACGUCAUUGCGUGUAUGGGAACACGUAUCGCUCUUUCUUUCUAUAUAUACAGGCCUCAACAAUUCUCCUAGAGCACUCACCUUCCCGCAACUGGCUGGAGGCUGUAGAGUUACGCGUGCGGAUACAACCGAUUCACUGAACUGUACGGGAUAAACACUGGAGUAAAUGCGUUUCUGAGACGUCAGAGGCGCCGUGACACCCAGCAAAAACGCGUAUACGAAGAGAAGAGCGAUCACUAUCCACACGCACCACAACCCCCAGCAUAUCACUUGAGUAUAAGCCAGUUUACGACUUAAACAAACGGCGAAGUCCUCAUUAAAUUCCCGAAUUUUUUAGGAGUUUCUAUGUCGAGGAAGAUACAUCGAAACGAGGAUGCAGGCACGUUCAGUCUCAUGCGACGGAAGAAAUUUUUAACCCUCGUGUGUGUAUAUUGAAAGACGUUCCACUAGGAUGCUCUUCCCCCACUCGUGGUCCACUAGCGCGCUAAACUGGCACACUACUCGUUUGCUCUUGUCGACGGAGAUGGUCGAUCAAUCCGUGGAGGCUCGUGCAAGGGAAAAGAUCGUGGAUCACUGGCGCGAAAUGGUGUCGUCGUCGUCUACCGACGCGACGCGUCACCAGCAUUACCUAUGCUGGUGAUAACGAUGAUAGUAUAUGCAUAGAAGCGUAGUAUCGCACUGUCACGAGGUACCGUUAGGUUAUAAGAGAUCCGUUGACCGCGCUUCUCUUUCCCCUGCUCAGAGAGCUCUGGUCUAUUAAUAAAAGGCAGCACUGCGCUCGCCACUAACCGUCCAAUCGACUGCGAGAAGAAUACAUUGACGCACUGGGCAGCUUCGUUUCGUAACACACGAUGAACAUAACUUAUUAGGAAGCAAUGAAGACCCUACAUUAUGAGCACAGUCGAGUGCAACUAGGCUCCCUUUAAAUAUGGAAAAAGAAGAAAGUGUCUCAACAUCUUGUACACAUCCAUCCCUCUACUUACAUAGCCAAAGCUACAUUGUACAACAUGGUGCAACCUAGACUACCUUCAGCUAAAUGAAACUGUGGAAUAUUUAGGUUAUUCCUUUUUAGACUCCCUGAGCUUUAAGUACCUUUUGGAUUCAAUAUUCUAUCUAGCAUCUCAGUAGAUUUUAUGUCCUCCCGAAAUCGAAACUCAAGUGGUAAGAAAGUUCUCCUCCUACACUUAUUCUUAGGCAAAAGAGGUCCACGUUGCACUCGACUAUACAGGUAUAGAAGACGCGUGCUUUUCUGGCCACGUCCGAGGCAACCGCGAUGCAUUCAGCACCACGCGGAUGACUUAUUAAUAAUAGAACGUGUCCAAGGAACGAAGCGAAAAAGAAUGCAAUAUAUUUUAAGUGCCAAAGACGUUGCUAAUGAAAUAUUUUUUCGACAGGCAAUUUGAUGAGAUCGAAACUCUAUCUAACCCUGGCAGAGGAGGAAAUAACUAAACGAUAUCUGAAGAUAACCGUGCUGACGCUGAUGCACCAAUUCUACGAAAUUUGAUACACCUGCCCGUACAUAUUUUGCAAUAGUGGGUUGGCUAUCUCGUACGGACCGUGGAUCGAGAAGGAAGAAAUCAUCGUUGUCGCUGGCCUACGACAAAGCGAUCCUCUUCGCGGUUUAAAGUUACCAACGAGCAACGCCAUUCAUGUAUGCCAGCUUUCAAGAGGAUGGAGUACGCGUACCGUACACUGGAUAUUUAGAUACAAGCACACGCACACGUGUCGUUGUAGGCGAGAUCAUUACGGCACACGCGCUGGAUUGACAGGAUUCCAGGGAGAAAGUCACUUCUCAUCGUGCGCGGCACAAAGGACAUUCUACCGAGGUCAAGGUCUCCGGCUGCUCGAUACAACUUUAAUCGGAAUCGAUUACCGUGUACUAUUUCUCUGAUACAUUUCACUCGCUACCGAAGUUGGGUCGCAACUCGAUCAGACACUUCUUGAAUGAGUCUACAAUCAAAUAGUAGCUGACGAUUUUAGGUCUCCUAUUCUUGUUACAUUGCCACGAGUGAAAAUAAAAUUUACAAUAUAUAAGUUAGCUAAACUGUUAGCCUUCUGACACUCACUGGCAAUACGGGUUUAUAUUAUCGUUCCCUACAUUUCAGGACCUCCUGACCCUAAACUCGUUCAAAAAGCCAAUGGUCGAGUCACGACCUAUUCUAGUCAAAGGUGAUAACACCAUAACUUUACAUAUUUUUAUUUUACGUUCUUAGAGCAGACAGAAAAAAAGAACAAUGGAGAGACCUCGACUAUAGGGGGCAAAUGCAUAGACAAGAAUCCUGUGUAACUAGUUCUCGAGUUACCAGUUCAGGUCACUAUGUGCGACCUAUUUGCCGUCGACCUCGACCUUCGCUGGUAGGGUAUAACAUCAGUCACCUAGGCGAUAGAAACAGGGACUUUAUGCGUUCGUAAUUGGAUCAUUGUGACACGGACAAAAGUAAUUGGCGCUUUGUGAAGGGUGUUGAGCGAAUACACGCGCAGGGGUACCUGUUGCCCACUACGGAUAUUUAUAACGCGAACAACCAGGGGGCAGCAUGCGAACAUCUUGUAACCAUUAUACGGUCACCUCGUGUUCACCGAGAAAUGCGAUUGGCACGAGAAUGAUCCGCAGCUCAACGGUAAAAGGAAAAGGCGAUCGACGACAAAGGAGAAUCCAUUUGUGUCGUGUGGCUCAUCCAACCACCAUCGUGCCUCGCAACGACUGGUUUCGCCUUAACGCUUUACCGACCGAGUUAUAAUUAGCAAUUUCAAGAAUCGCUGGUCGAGCAAGCUAUUCCUGGCAUUUUAGAAAUUUCUCUGUACCAUAAACGGGUAUUUAUCAAAAGCGUGUACAGCGUGGCUCUCCUUGAAUAUUCAAGUAUACGCUCCAACUGUACAUCUAGCAAACUCAAAGCUGUUUCGACGACGAAAGGUAACUAUGAUCGCAUCCAACAGAUGUCAGUAUACAAAUGGCAAACAACUCGUUAAAUGUAUCAUAGAUUUUAGAUGAUCACAUUCCAAGAAGUAGAUGUUAACGAGAUGGAAUUGUUACACGAUUGGUAGCGAAGAUUAAGAAACACAAAGAAGAUAUUGCGAUGAACAAUGUGACACUUAUCAGGGUGUCGACGGGUCUUCGUGGUCACCGAUCCCCCGCCUUUUACACCCCUUUUCUCGGGGAU